Molecule: transfer RNA, 84 nt
Filed under: Schistocephalus solidus
Lineage: Eukaryota; Metazoa; Platyhelminthes; Cestoda; Diphyllobothriidea; Diphyllobothriidae
Rfam family: tRNA
About the family: Transfer RNA (tRNA) molecules are approximately 80 nucleotides in length. Their secondary structure includes four short double-helical elements and three loops (D, anti-codon, and T loops). Further hydrogen bonds mediate the characteristic L-shaped molecular structure. tRNAs have two regions of fundamental functional importance: the anti-codon, which is responsible for specific mRNA codon recognition, and the 3' end, to which the tRNAs corresponding amino acid is attached (by aminoacyl-tRNA synthetases). tRNAs cope with the degeneracy of the genetic code in two manners: having more than one tRNA (with a specific anti-codon) for a particular amino acid; and 'wobble' base-pairing, i.e. permitting non-standard base-pairing at the 3rd anti-codon position.
Source: Rfam by way of RNAcentral
GGCCUCGUAGCUCAGGUGGUUAGAGCGUUAGCUACUCUGAAGCCUUUUUCCUUGUCGGUGUGGGUUCGAAUCCCAUCGAGGCCA